RNAcentral lists this ribosomal RNA (459 nucleotides) under uncultured bacterium. RNAcentral's name for it is "partial 16S ribosomal RNA". It matches the Rfam family "Bacterial small subunit ribosomal RNA", at positions 338 to 795 of the family's 1533-position model. The record is from RNAcentral.
CCUACGGGAGGCAGCAGUGAGGAAUAUUGGUCAAUGGGCGCGAGCCUGAACCAGCCAAGUCGCGUGAGGGAAGACGGUCCUAUGGAUUGUAAACCUCUUUUGUCGGGGGGCAAAAGACGCCACGCGUGGCUUUCCGAGAGUACCCGAAGAAAAAGCAUCGGCUAACUCCGUGCCAGCAGCCGCGGUAAUACGGAGGAUGCGAGCGUUAUCCGGAUUUAUUGGGUUAAAAGGGUGGGAAGGCGGGAGUUUAAGCGAGCGGGAAAAUUUAGGGGCGCAACCUAUGCGGGCGGUUGAAACUGGUUUUCUUGAGUGAGCGAGAGGUAUGCGGAAUGCGUGGUGUAGCGGUGAAAUGCAUAGAUAUCACGCAGAACUCCGAUUGCGAAGGCAGCAUACCGGAGCUCAACUGACGCUCAUGCACGAAAGUGUGGGUAUCGAACAGGAUUAGAUACCCCUGUAGUC